RNAcentral lists this ribosomal RNA (508 nucleotides) under uncultured bacterium. Its description in RNAcentral is "partial 16S ribosomal RNA". It matches the Rfam family "Bacterial small subunit ribosomal RNA", at positions 28 to 507 of the family's 1533-position model. The record is from RNAcentral.
GACGAACGCUGGCGGCGUGCCUAAUACAUGCAAGUCGAACGCUUCUUUCCUCCCGAGUGCUUGCACUCAAUUGGAAAGAGGAGUGGCGGACGGGUGAGUAACACGUGGGUAACCUACCCAUCAGAGGGGGAUAACACUUGGAAACAGGUGCUAAUACCGCAUAACAGUUUAUGCCGCAUGGCAUAAGAGUGAAAGGCGCUUUCGGGUGUCGCUGAUGGAUGGACCCGCGGUGCAUUAGCUAGUUGGUGAGGUAACGGCUCACCAAGGCCACGAUGCAUAGCCGACCUGAGAGGGUGAUCGGCCACACUGGGACUGAGACACGGCCCAGACUCCUACGGGAGGCAGCAGUAGGGAAUCUUCGGCAAUGGACGAAAGUCUGACCGAGCAACGCCGCGUGAGUGAAGAAGGUUUUCGGAUCGUAAAACUCUGUUGUUAGAGAAGAACAAGGACGUUAGUAACUGAACGUCCCAUGACGGUAUCUAACCAGAAAGCCACGGCUAACUACGUG